UAUGAACGCUAGCGGCAGGCCUAAUACAUGCAAGCUGAACGGUAAAUAUUGUAGCAAUACAAUAUGAGAGUAGCGUAAGGGUGCGUAACACGUAUGCAAUCUGCCCUGUACAGGAGGAUAGCUCGGGGAAACCCGGAUUAAUACUCCGUAAUAUUAUUGGGAGGCAUCUCUUGAUAAUUAAAGUCGCAAGACGGUAUGGGAUGAGCAUGCGUCUGAUUAGCUAGUUGGUGGUGUAACGGACCACCAAGGCGAUGAUCAGUAGGGGAACUGAGAGGUUGAUCCCCCACACUGGCACUGAGAUACGGGCCAGACUCCUACGGGAGGCAGCAGUAGGGAAUAUUGGUCAAUGGAUGCAAGUCUGAACCAGCCAUGCCGCGUGCAGGAAGAAGGCCUUCUGGGUUGUAAACUGCUUUUGCCGGGGGAUAAAAAGUCCAUGCGUGGACAAUUGAAGGUACCCGGUGAAUAGGCCACGGCUAACUACGUG
This 484-nucleotide ribosomal RNA is filed under the name uncultured bacterium. RNAcentral describes it as "bacterial SSU rRNA". It matches the Rfam family "Bacterial small subunit ribosomal RNA", at positions 29 to 507 of the family's 1533-position model. The record is from RNAcentral.